GACGAACGCUGGCGGCGUGCCUAAUACAUGCAAGUAGAACGCACAGUUUAUACCGUAGCUUGCUACACCAUAGACUGUGAGUUGCGAACGGGUGAGUAACGCAUAGGUAACCUGCCUGGUAGCGGGGGAUAACUAUUGGAAACGAUAGCUAAUACCGCAUAAUAUUAAUUAUUGCAUGAUAAUUAAUUGAAAGGUGCAAUUGCACCACUACCAGAUGGACCUGCGUUGUAUUAGCUAGUAGGUGAGGUAACGGCUCACCUAGGCGACGAUACAUAGCCGACCUGAGAGGGUGAUCGGCCACACUGGGACUGAGACACGGCCCAGACUCCUACGGGAGGCAGCAGUAGGGAAUCUUCGGCAAUGGACGAAAGUCUGACCGAGCAACGCCGCGUGAGUGAAGAAGGUUUUCGGAUCGUAAAGCUCUGUUGUAAGAGAAGAACGGGUGUGAGAGUGGAAAGUUCACACUGUGACGGUAUCUUACCAGAAAGGGACGGCUAACUACGUG
This 505-nucleotide ribosomal RNA is filed under the name uncultured bacterium. Its description in RNAcentral is "partial 16S ribosomal RNA". It matches the Rfam family "Bacterial small subunit ribosomal RNA", at positions 28 to 507 of the family's 1533-position model. The record is from RNAcentral.